AUACGUAGGUGGCGAGCGUUGUCCGGAAAUUACUGGGUGUAAAGGGCGUGUAGGCGGGAAUGUAAGUCAGAUGUGAAAUACCGUGGCUUAACCACGGGGCUGCAUCUGAAACUAUGUUUCUAGAGUGUCGGAGAGGAAAGUGGAAUUCCCAGUGUAGCGGUGAAAUGCGUAGAUAUUGGGAGGAACACCAGUGGCGAAGGCGACUUUCUGGACGAUAACUGACGCUGAGGCGCGAAAGCGUGGGGAGC
This 248-nucleotide ribosomal RNA is filed under the name uncultured bacterium. Its description in RNAcentral is "partial 16S ribosomal RNA". It matches the Rfam family "Bacterial small subunit ribosomal RNA", at positions 523 to 769 of the family's 1533-position model. The record is from RNAcentral.